AGGUAAAUUAUAUCUAUUGUCUUAUUGAUUUUUUUAAAUUCCAAUUUGGGAAGACUUAUAAUGUCUAUAUUUAAUGUGUAUAAUGUAUAUGGUAGGUAAAUUACUUUUUAAUAUUUUUAAACACAAUACAAAUGUUCAUUUUCUUUCAAUAACAGCUUUUCUGGGGAAAUUUCAAACUGCUGAUUUUUAAAUUAUCCAUAUCUCUUUUGGGAAGAACAAGUUAUGUGGGUGACUUUCAGUUUGCUAUUUUUAAUCUAGCAUGUUUUUUUAUAUC
Molecule: long non-coding RNA, 274 nt
Filed under: Bos taurus (domestic cattle)
Lineage: Eukaryota; Metazoa; Chordata; Mammalia; Artiodactyla; Bovidae
Description: long non-coding RNA NONBTAT023459
Source: RNAcentral